Molecule: ribosomal RNA, 544 nt
Filed under: uncultured bacterium
Lineage: Bacteria
Description: partial 16S ribosomal RNA
Rfam family: Bacterial small subunit ribosomal RNA
Source: RNAcentral
UGAGGAAUAUUGGUCAAUGGGCGGAGAGCCCUGAACCAGCCAAGUCGCGUGAAGGAAGACUGCCUUAUGGGUUGUAAACUUCUUUUAUACAGGAAUAAAAAGGCUUACGUGUAGGCCAUUGCAAGUACUGUAUGAAUAAGCAUCGGCUAACUCCGUGCCAGCAGCCGCGGUAAUACGGAGGAUGCGAGCGUUAUCCGGAUUUAUUGGGUUUAAAGGGUGCGCAGGCGGGCUUUUAAGUCAGCGGUGAAAUCUGGACGCUUAACGUCCAAACUGCCGUUGAAACUGGGAGUCUUGAGUAUGGAUGAAGUAGGCGGAAUUCGUUGUGUAGCGGUGACAUGCAUAGAUAUAACGAGGAACUCCGAUUGCGUAGGCAGCUUACUAAGCCAUAACUGACGCUCAUGCACGAAAGCGUGGGGAUCAAACAGGAUUAGAUACCCUGGUAGUCCACGCCGUAAACGAUGAUUACUAGUUGUAUGCGAUAUGAUAGUAUGUGACUAAGCGAAAGCGAUAAGUAAUCCACCUGGGGAGUACGCCGGCAACGGUG